RNAcentral lists this ribosomal RNA (381 nucleotides) under uncultured marine Chaetocerotaceae. RNAcentral describes it as "SSU rRNA". It matches the Rfam family "Eukaryotic small subunit ribosomal RNA", at positions 587 to 972 of the family's 1831-position model. Lineage: Eukaryota; Bacillariophyta; Thalassiosirophyceae; Chaetocerotales; Chaetocerotaceae. The record is from RNAcentral.
AGCUCCAAUAGCGUAUAUUAAAGUUGCUGCAGUUAAAAAGCUCGUAGUUGCAUUUCCGAGGCAAGGGAUUAGUCCGACCUUUGGUGGGUAUUUAAUCCUCUUGCCUCGUCCUUGAGUGGUGCUUCUUGGUAUUAAGUUAUCGAGGAGAUAGCCGCUCAUCGUUUACUGUGAGAAAAUUAGAGUGUUCAAAGCAGGCUUAUGCCGUUGAAUAUAUUAGCAUGGAAUAAUAAGAUAGGGCCUCGGUACUAUUUUGUUGGUUUGAGAGCCAAGGUAAUGAUGAAUAGGGACAGUUGGGGGUAUUCGUAUUCAGUUGUCAGAGGUGAAAUUCUUAGAUUUACGGAAGACGAACUACUGCGAAAGCAUUUACCAAGGAUGUUUUCA